This 1011-nucleotide long non-coding RNA is filed under the name Astyanax mexicanus (Mexican tetra). Its description in RNAcentral is "lncRNA (ENSAMXG00005003625.1)". Lineage: Eukaryota; Metazoa; Chordata; Actinopteri; Characiformes; Acestrorhamphidae. The record is from RNAcentral.
GCUGAUCCUGCUGCUCUGCGUGAGAUGAAUGAAACCAGCUGAAUCAAAGCUCCUGCUUUAAGAGGAGCUUUAUGAAUGUGCAUCAGGGAAGAUGGCCACUCUUUAUUUAUUUAUUUAUUUAUUUAUUAAUGCCUUUGCUUACAUACUUACUUUUACAGACGUGGCUCUUGGCUUUUGGCACAGUGCAUCACAUGUGGUACAUGAGGUAACAACCUUGCAUGCAUUGGAUGUUAAUCUACACAGAUUUCUCUCCUGAAAACUGUUUACUUGGUUGAGUAAAGCGCUUCUGUUUAUUUGUAGUAAGCUUAGAUUUGCAGACUUCCACUAAAGCUAGCUGUGGUUAGUGGCUAAUGCCGCCUGACAGCACAACAAGGAGGAGCCCUUAGAGUUCCGGUAAGUCAGGGCGAUAUUAGCUAGUGGUUUGUCUCACAUAGCUUUUUUAACAUGGUAAACUUGCAGGCUGAUGUACACUCACUUCUGAGCGGUAAAAGUGCUAGCGCUUAGCGCAGUUAGCAGGCAAUGCUAAUGCUGCUCCAGCAGUGCUAGCCAGAGUUAGCAGCAGGCUACAGGCCGAUAAUACUCACCUCCAAAUGGCAAAAAAGAUAGUGCUUAGCACAGUUAGCUCAAAACAGGGUGUUUGCUAGAAAUGUGAAAAGCCGCUGCACUACUGCACAACACCAUUUAGGUUAGCACCUGGGAAUUUAUGACUACUACAUACUUGUAUUUAUUGUCAGUCAAAUUAGCUUGCAGUAAUGCAAAUGUGACCAACUGGACUACAACAGUUACCAGUUAAACUACCAGUUAAACUACAACAGGUGAAGAUGAGGUUUUGUGCAGCAUUACUGUGUAGAAAUGACUGUGGACUCAUGACACAUGAAGAUCACACCUUUACACACCCUAUUAAAUAUUCUCGCCUGGCAAAUAUUUGUAAUGAGCUGCCCUGUAGUUUAGUUUAAUGAGAACAAAUAGGCUUAGGUGGGUAGAAAUAAAAUAUUAAUGGUUCGUUUAACA